UUUUUUUUUUCACGGGGGGCUCCACAAUGGACGAAAGUCUGAUGGAGCAACGCCGCGUGAGUGAAGAAGGGUUUCGGCUCGUAAAACUCUGUUGUUAAAGAAGAACAUAUCUGAGAGUAACUGUUCAGGUAUUGACGGUAUUUAACCAGAAAGCCACGGCUAACUACGUGCCAGCAGCCGCGGUAAUACGUAGGUGGCAAGCGUUGUCCGGAUUUAUUGGGCGUAAAGCGAGCGCAGGCGGUUUUUUAAGUCUGAUGUGAAAGCCUUCGGCUCAACCGAAGAAGUGCAUCGGAAACUGGGAAACUUGAGUGCAGAAGAGGACAGUGGAACUCCAUGUGUAGCGGUGAAAUGCGUAGAUAUAUGGAAGAACACCAGUGGCGAAGGCGGCUGUCUGGUCUGUAACUGACGCUGAGGCUCGAAAGUAUGGGUAGCAAACAGGAUUAGAUACCCUGGUAGUCCAUACCGUAAACGAUGAAUGCUAAGUGUUGGAGGGUUUCCGCCCUUCAGUGCUGCAGCUAACGCAUUAAGCAUUCCGCCUGGGGAGUACGGCCGCAAGGCUGAAACUCAAAGGAAUUGACGGGGGCCCGCACAAGCGGUGGAGCAUGUGGUUUAAUUCGAAGCUACGCGAAGAACCUUACCAGGUCUUGACAUACUAUGCAAAUCUAAGAGAUUAGACGUUCCCUUCGGGGACAUGGAUACAGGUGGUGCAUGGUGUCGUCAGCUCGUCGGUU
RNAcentral lists this ribosomal RNA (731 nucleotides) under Lactiplantibacillus plantarum. RNAcentral's name for it is "bacterial SSU rRNA". It matches the Rfam family "Bacterial small subunit ribosomal RNA", at positions 48 to 1068 of the family's 1533-position model. The record is from RNAcentral. Lineage: Bacteria; Bacillati; Bacillota; Bacilli; Lactobacillales; Lactobacillaceae.